This 460-nucleotide ribosomal RNA is filed under the name uncultured bacterium. RNAcentral describes it as "partial 16S ribosomal RNA". It matches the Rfam family "Bacterial small subunit ribosomal RNA", at positions 338 to 795 of the family's 1533-position model. The record is from RNAcentral.
CCUACGGGAGGCAGCAGUGAGGAAUAUUGGUCAAUGGGCGCGAGCCUGAACCAGCCAAGUAGCGUGAAGGAAGACUGCCCUACGGGUUGUAAACUUCUUUUAUGAAGGAAUAAAGUGAGACGCGUGUGCCUUUGUGUAUGUACCUUAUGAAUAAGGAUCGGCUAACUCCGUGCCAGCAGCCGCGGUAAUACGGAGGAGCCGAGCGUUACCCGGAUUUAUUGGGUUGAAAGGGUGCGGAGGCGGCCUUUUAAGUCAGCGGUGAAAGUCUGUGGCUCAACCAUAGAAUUGCCGUUGAAACUGGCGGGCUUGAGUAUUGUAGAGGCGGGUAGAAUGCGAGGUGUAGCGGUGAAAUGCGUAGAUAUCACGAAGAACACCGAUGGCGAAGGCAGCCUCCCAAGCAAUGACUGACGCUGAUGCACGAAAGCGUGGGGAUCAAACAGGAUUAGAUACCCUUGUAGUC